UGGAUCCAGACUUUGAUUCUGGCUCAGGAUGAACGCUAGCUACAGGCUUAACACAUGCAAGUCGAGGGGCAGCAUGACGAUAGCUUGCUAUUGUUGAUGGCGACCGGCGCACGGGUGAGUAACGCGUAUCCAACCUGCCCUUGUCCAUCGGAUAACCCGUCGAAAGGCGGCCUAACACGAUAUGCAGUUCUCAGCAGGCAUCUAACGAGAACGAAAUGUAAGGGAGAAGGAUGGGGAUGCGUCUGAUUAGCUUGUUGGCGGGGUAACGGCCCACCAAGGCGACGAUCAGUAGGGGUUCUGAGAGGAAGGUCCCCCACAUUGGAACUGAGACACGGUCCAAACUCCUACGGGAGGCAGCAGUGAGGAAUAUUGGUCAAUGGGCGAGAGCCUGAACCAGCCAAGUAGCGUGCAGGAUGACGGCCCUAUGGGUUGUAAACUGCUUUUAUGCGGGGAUAAAGUGAGCCACGUGUGGCUUAUUGCAGGUACCGCAUGAAUAAGGACCGGCUAAUUCCGUGCCAGCAGCCGCGGUAAUACGGAAGGUCCGGGCGUUAUCCGGAUUUAUUGGGUUUAAAGGGAGCGUAGGCCGUCUGGUAAGCGUGUUGUGAAAUGUCGGGGCUCAACCUGGGCAUUGCAGCGCGAACUGUCAGACUUGAGUGCGCGGGAAGUAGGCGGAAUUCGUCGUGUAGCGGUGAAAUGCUUAGAUAUGACGAAGAACUCCGAUUGCGAAGGCAGCCUGCUGUAGCGCAACUGACGCUGAAGCUCGAAAGCGUGGGUAUCGAACAGGAUUAGAUACCCUGGUAGUCCACGCGGUGAACGAUGGAUGCUCGCUGUUUGCGUCUGACGUAAGCGGCCAAGCGAAAGCGUUAAGCAUCCCACCUGGGGAGUACGCCGGCAACGGUGCAACUCAAAGGAAUUGACGGA
Molecule: ribosomal RNA, 921 nt
Filed under: uncultured Bacteroidota bacterium
Lineage: Bacteria; Pseudomonadati; Bacteroidota
Description: bacterial SSU rRNA
Rfam family: Bacterial small subunit ribosomal RNA
Source: RNAcentral